Molecule: ribosomal RNA, 774 nt
Filed under: uncultured Neocallimastigales
Lineage: Eukaryota; Fungi; Neocallimastigomycota; Neocallimastigomycetes; Neocallimastigales
Description: partial large subunit ribosomal RNA
Rfam family: Eukaryotic large subunit ribosomal RNA
Source: RNAcentral
GUACACGCUGUGACUAGCAUAUCAAUAAGCGGAGGAAAAGAAACUAACAAGGAUUCCCCUAGUAACGGCGAGUGAAGCGGGAAGAGCUCAAAUUUGAAAUCUUAAAGGGUUUCCCUUUACGAAUUGUAGUUUAAAGAAGUGUUUUCUGUUGAGGUUUUGGUAAAAGUUCUUUGGAAUAGGACAUCAUAGAGGGUGAGAAUCCCGUAUUUGACCUUUACUUUCAACUUCGUGAUACACUUUCAAAGAGUCGGAUUGUUUGGGAAUGCAGUCCAAAAUGGGUGGUAAACUUCAUCUAAAGCUAAAUAUUGGCGAGAGACCGAUAGCGAACAAGUACCGUGAGGGAAAGAUGAAAAGAACUUUGAAAAGAGAGUUAAACAGUACGUGAAAUUGUCAAAAGGGAAGCGUUUGACACCAGUGUUGUUUUUCUGAAAAUCAAUUAAAGAACUGUUUAUGCUAAGUUGUUUAGACUUUAUCAGCUAACUGUUUAGUUUUGAGCUUUUCUUUAAUGCACUUUUCAGUUAACAAGUCAACAUCAAUUUCUUUUGCUGUAAAAAAGCUUGAGGAAGGUGGCUUGAGAUUCGUCUUAAGUGUUUAUAGCCUCUUGCCUAUGCAGUCGGAGAGAUUGAGGUCUGCAGCGUAGAUCCUUCGGGGCUAAAUGCAUUUGUGCUAAGUUAUAGCAUUUCAUAGACAACUUGUUGACUAUGAUUUGUCUUGUAGCUUACUCGCUUAUGUUAUUUUACCUACGCUUAGGAUGUUGACAGCAGUAUAGACUGU